GUCUUUUUAGGGCUCUACUCACAGCAUAUGGAAGUUCCCAGGCUAGGGGUCGAAUUGGAGCUGGAGCAGCUGGCCUACACCACAGCCACAGCCACAGCCACGCCAGACCUGAGCUGCGUCUGUGACCUACACCACAGGUCACAGCAAUGCUGGAUCCUUAACCUACUGAGCGAGGCCAGGGAUUGAAGCUACUUCCUCAAGGUCACUAGUCAGAUAUGUUUCCACUGAGCCAUGACAGGAAUUUUCAUUUUUAAUAAUACAUUCUUCAUGCUUUUUACUAUUAUCACAGGGCCUGAAAUUUUGUGACUAAAAAAUAUUUAGAGCCAAUAAUAUAUUUAGAGCCAAUAAUAUAAUAUCUUCUGGCUCAAACAAUAAUUUAUACAUGGCAUUUAUUGCAUGUCCUUUAUAAGGCCAAGAAGCGAGGUGUAUUUAAAUUUGCCUUAUGUCUUUAACAUAUAAGCUCUACAGUUCUUACAAAGACAGGAGAAUGGUUUGUCCUGGCAUAUGCCACAGUUAUUGUGCCAGCCACAAGCCACAUGACUACUGCUACAGUUACACAACUUCCAACAGCGACACUUUGGAGGAGUAUUCUUUAAGUGUCAUGCAUUUUCUUUUUUUCUCUUUUUAGUGUUUCAUUUGUUCGUUUUUGUAGAUAAAGGAAAAUUUCUGGACCCUCUUUUAAGAAUGUUUCUUUUAUGUAACCAAUUGACAAAAUAAAUAUGUAGAGAGAAAAAUUUUAAUGGGGAAAAAGAAAUCUGGGAUCCUAAAGUUGAACAACAGACGAUUUCAUCUGUGUCUUUCAGAAAGAAUGUCUCAUAUAGUCAUAAUUUGUAAGUAAAAAACAGAUGAACAUAAAUGACUCAUUAUUAAGCACUGCCUCUGCAAUGGAGAAGGAUGCUGUUUGGGUAAAAACUCAAUUUUGUGCUGUUGACAAAUUGAGAAUUCUUUUAUGGCUUUUGGGGGGGGGGGCUCUGUGCUCAUUUCCUGGUCUCUUUAAGCCUGAUACGAGCAUAUGUUCUGGGUUAAUGGAGUAGAAUACAUGUAAAGUUACUAAAAUAAAAAGCUAAAUAUUUUAAGUUCCCCGAAGGAAGGGACUUUAUCAGUUUCCUUCACUGUUGCCUUUCAAAAUGACCUUCUCAUGAAGGAAUUCAUUGAUUCCCCCCCCCCAAUUAUUUAUUAAGCACCCACUAAUGCCAGGACUGAUCUGGGUGCUGGUCAUGGAGCAUGUGGGAUAAUGUAGAGAGACAGAAAACAAUUAAACAAAUGAAGAUGGAAUAAUGUCAGGGUGAUAAAAGACAACGCAGAUAAGGUGAUAGAGAGUCAUAGGGGUGCAGAUAUUUUAGGUGAGGUAUUCAGACAUAACGAUGCUGAGAAAGGGACAUUUGUUUCGGGACCUGAAAGGAGUGAGGGAACCAGCCACUAGCACAUCUGUACAGAGCCCUCCCAGCAGCAGAGUAAAGUACGCAUGCGUGGAGUGCUGGGUGCCGACCAAGGCGAUCCAGGUGAACCGCUGCGUGGAAGAAGAGAGGUGAAAAGUGAUGGAGCUGAGGUGGCGGGGGCCUCUCAGGCAGCGUCUGGCUCCUGCUGGCCUGGACUCUUGGUGAAGAGUUAGUGAAAUGAGAUAAGGGUUUAAUGAGAAAGUAUAGUGUGAAAUGUAAGCUGAGAUUUGAAGUCACCCUAUUCUUUGGUCCACAUUCAUGGACUAACUCACUCAUUUCCUUUCCACUCAUAGUCUAAAUGAUUUUUGAAUAGUAGACACCCCCUGGACCUAUGUGCAGGUUUCUAACAAUAAUAAUAAUAAUCCUAACAUUUAUUAAUUUCAUAAAAAUUCAAGCGAUGGAAGGAGAAAUCAUCUCUUUUGCUGUAGCUCCGUUGUGUAGAUUAUACCAACCUCCUGAAAUUCAGCAAUGCUGUGCCUGUCAUAACGAGGGGAAUUGGGCUAAUUUUUCAGGACUCAUCACGCAUCACCCAGUCAAUGACAAGUGAUAUGAAGUCUCUGCUAAAAAAUAGGCCAUGAUUUUUAUGACACUGAAGCCAUUUCCUGAGCUCCCUCAAGAUUAAGUGAACUUGUACCAGCUACAUUGAUAGAAAUAGCAAUUGUAUUUCUAGUUUUUAAUUUCCCUAUCAUGAUUGGCUCUGAAUGAAUGGUAUAUACUGUAAAAUUCAUUCACUAUAGUCAGUGCCUACUAGCAGGCAAUGCCUGCAGGAUGUGGCCGGGGUUCUAGGCCUGAACCACCCUGAGUCACUGAGAAAAGUGAUGGGCUUAUACUAGAGCCUCUUCUAGCUGGAAAAUGCUGUUAUCUUGGAACGGAUUACCAAAUGCAAUAUGGGCAAGAAAUGUCCAAUCUAAGGAUGAGGAACUAGAAUAGAUUUCAAUAAAAAUAAUGCUUUGUCUCCUAAGCCUUAGUUCACAAUCUGGUAAAACCUGCAUUUCAUAAAUGAUGGGAGCAAUGUUGCUGAGCUUGCCCCAAAAAUACUGGUCAGUCAAUUUAUGUGUGUUAUUAAAUAUAUCUGAUCAGUAACAUCAUAGGGACCAAUUCAUAAUCUACCCUAUUUUCCCUUCUUAUAUAGGGGGAAAAAUACACACACACGUAUGCACACACACACAUAUUCUUUGUAGAAGCAAUUUUGCUGGACUCCCUGACCAAAGGAUCAUAAGGGGUUUUUUUGGUUUUGUUUGUUUUCUUUUUUUUUAGGGCCACACCCAGGGCAUAUGGAGGUUCCCAGGCUCCCUAGCUGCAGCUGCCAGCCUACACCACAGCCACAGCCAUGCUGGAUCCGAGCCGUGUCUGCAACUUAUGCCUCAGCUCACAACAAUGCCGGAUCCUUAACCCACUCAUGGAUCCUAGUCGGGUUUGUAACGGCUGAGCCACCACAGGAACUCCUAGAAUCACAAAGUUUUAUCUAUUAAUACGAAAUGACCCAAACAGAGAAUCAUUUAGAAACUCCAAAGGAUUGGAAAAAAGAGGAAAAUGGGAGACAGCAAGAAAGCAAUCCAAGAACUGUGACUUCAGUGUGGGAAACCCUGAAGCACUACUUAAAUAAUCAUUACUUUAGGGAGUUCCUGUUGUGGCACAGCAGAAACGAAUCUGAGUGGUAACCAUGAGGUUGCGGGUUCAAUCCCUGGCCUCACACAGUGGGUUAAGGAUCCAGUGUCACCAUGAGCUGUGGUGUAGGUCGCCAAUGUGGCUCGGAUACUGCGCUGGUGUGGCUGUGGUAUAAGCCAGCAGCUGUAGCUCCGAUUCAACCCCUAGCCUGGGAACUUUCAUAUGCCACAGAUGUGGCCCUAAGAAGAAAAAAAAAAUCAAUGCUUUAGUUGUUAUUAAUGUAAUAAACAGUUAAAUAGGAAAAUAGAGAGGUUGCCAUAAAUACGUAAUAUAAUGUGUCAGUCAAUGAAUGACAAACACUUGUGUAUAUUUCAGAAAGGCAUCUCCUUAUAACAAUGACAAAGUUAUUUUUCAAGGUAAUGUUUCUUGACAUUAAAAAAAAUUAUACAAAAUAAAUAAAAUGAGAUCUAAUCCAGUAAGGGUAAAUGAAAAAUGUCCACAGAAUUUUCCUAUCUGCACCUCUCAAAAACAGCCUAAAUUUCUUCCCUAAUUCUACCAUGAACAUGCUUCUCAACCCAGGGUCCAUCACCAGAGGCCCU
RNAcentral lists this long non-coding RNA (3646 nucleotides) under Sus scrofa (pig). RNAcentral's name for it is "lncRNA (ENSSSCG00030043612.1)". The record is from RNAcentral. Lineage: Eukaryota; Metazoa; Chordata; Mammalia; Artiodactyla; Suidae.